This 262-nucleotide long non-coding RNA is filed under the name Carica papaya (papaya). Its description in RNAcentral is "long non-coding RNA (CPAP_LNC002838)". The record is from RNAcentral. Lineage: Eukaryota; Viridiplantae; Streptophyta; Magnoliopsida; Brassicales; Caricaceae.
AUCUUCAUGUAGCUCUUUCGGUAACCCUGCUUUUUGGGUUCUCCCUUUAUUCAGGCUUCGCGAGCUUGGUGUCUUCUUCUUCUUUUUCGCCUUUCAGAAGCAAAAGUUGGGUUCAGCGAUAUCGAUGGCUACAUAUAAACUUCUUGUCAUAGUUGAAGUAUAGUCCAUGCGUUUGCUAUCUCUACAUUUCGUUCCACGAGAGCUGCUUGGUGGCAGUGGAAUGAGCAGUUAUGGUUUAUGACGCUGGAGUUGCUAAUACUUA